RNAcentral lists this ribosomal RNA (465 nucleotides) under uncultured bacterium. RNAcentral's name for it is "partial 16S ribosomal RNA". It matches the Rfam family "Bacterial small subunit ribosomal RNA", at positions 28 to 507 of the family's 1533-position model. The record is from RNAcentral.
GACGAACGCUGGCGGCGUGCUUAACACAUGCAAGUCGAACGGAAAGGCCCCUUUGGGGGUACUCGAGUGGCGAACGGGUGAGUAACACGUGAGUAACCUGCCCUUGACUUCGGGAUAACUUCAGGAAACUGGGGCUAAUACCGGAUAGGAAUCCUUGCUGAAUGGUGGGGGUUGGAAAGCUUCGGCGGUUUUGGAUGGACUCGCGGCUUAUCAGCUUGUUGGUGGGGUAGUGGGUUACCAAGGCUUUGACGGGUAGCCGGUCUGAGCGGGCGACCGGCCACAUUGGGACUGAGAUACGGCCCAGACUCCUACGGGAGGCAGAAGUGGGGAAUAGUGCACAAUGGGCGGAAGCCUGAUGCAGCAACGCCGCGUGCGUGAUGACGGCCUUCGGGUUGUAAACCGCUUUCAGCAGGGGCGAAGCUUGUGGUGACGGUACCUGCAGAAGAAGCACCGGCUAACUACGUG